UACGAAGGGGGCUAGCGUUGCUCGGAAUUACUGGGCGUAAAGCGCACGUAGGCGGCUCUUUAAGUCGGGGGUGAAAUCCUGGAGCUCAACUCCAGAACUGCCUUCGAUACUGUAGAGCUUGAGUUCGGGAGAGGUGAGUGGAACUGCGAGUGUAGAGGUGAAAUUCGUAGAUAUUCGCAAGAACACCAGUGGCGAAGGCGGAUCACUGGCCCGGAACUGACGCUGAGGUGCGAAAGCGUGGGGAGCAAACAGG
This 253-nucleotide ribosomal RNA is filed under the name uncultured bacterium. RNAcentral's name for it is "partial 16S ribosomal RNA". It matches the Rfam family "Bacterial small subunit ribosomal RNA", at positions 524 to 776 of the family's 1533-position model. The record is from RNAcentral.